Molecule: long non-coding RNA, 1863 nt
Filed under: Cucumis sativus (cucumber)
Lineage: Eukaryota; Viridiplantae; Streptophyta; Magnoliopsida; Cucurbitales; Cucurbitaceae
Description: long non-coding RNA (CSAT_LNC001862)
Source: RNAcentral
GUUCGUGCAAUCACUAAGUGCAAAACAUUUUUUACGAAUUUCUUCCAUGUCAAUUACCUAACUACAAGGCAACUUCAAAUUCCAGCAGAUUUCUGUAAUGAAAAUGGAAGGGUAAACACCUUGUGAGGUAAGGGGCAUUGGAAUUGUUAAUCUUUUUCAGAGUUUUUCAUUGAUUUUUGUUUCUUGAAUGGUUGUAGAAUUACUUUAAUUUCUUUCAAGAAUUUUAAUUCAAAUUUUCUUUAUUUUUUUUUCCAAAUUAAUUUAUAGACUUUGAUUCUUGAAUUGUUGGAGCAUCUUGUGCUUUUUGUAUGCAAUAUACAUUUGUUUUGAGAAAUUAAUGUUGAGUCUUGUUGAAAUGCCUUCCCAAUUCUUGUUAGAAUGUAAGUUUGAUUUGAGAUCUGGUUAGAAUUGUUUCAUUUUUAAUGCAUAAUUGAACUUGAUCCUAUCAUUGUUAGCCAACUUUAAUUGUUUUAAUUCAAUUUGAUGUACUUUUCUUUUCUUUUUUCUUUUCUAAAAUAAAGUCAAGAAUUGAUUGCAAAAUUACUUUCCAACAAUCUUGCAUUCAACCCAAUGAUUCUAACAUUUAUUUUGAAUUUGAUCAUUGUCAGAUUUUUCCAAUUCAUAAUCUUAGGUAAAGAUUCAUUGUCUAAUAUUUUGGGAAUAAUUGUGUGUUUAAAGAAGCAAGUUCCAUAAAUGCAUAAUUGUUAAUUUCUCAUCAAUUAGAGGUCUUGAAUCUUGUACAAUUUGUUUGAUGAUUUAAGCAAGUUAAACCCUCAAACAAUUUGACCAAGAAUCAUUUUAAAUAUCAAGUCAUCUUUGUUUGUUUUCUUACUCAUGAUAAAGAUUGCACCCAAAACCAAUGCUCUUGCGUCCUUUAUUUCUUAGAGAAGUUUAAGUCUAGCCUUGUUGAGUUGAAUAAAAUUUUCUUGAAUUUUCUCUUGAUGAUUGUCCAACAAUUGUUCUUUAAAUUCUUGCAACAGAUUUUGAUAGUUCCUUUGGUCUACUAAUAAUUUUUUCAUUAGUCUUGAGUUUAGGAAAGUUUGUUAUCUGAUAACUUGUAGAAAUACAAGUAAUUGUAGCCUUUUUAUGUAAAAUAAUAAGGCCUUAAUGCAUAAGAUUGAAAGAAAACGCGUAGAAGAAUUGAUUAAGUUGUGCAUAGCAAAUUGCAAUAGAACUUUAUUUGUCUUAUUGUAGGAUAUUAGGCGAAAAGAAGAAGUAUAGCCUAGCAAUAGAACGUUAGGCAAGGGGUCACGCAACCAGCAAGGCGAAAAUCAUCACAAGCUAGGCGACUAAAGUUAGCAGACAAAAAUGAUUGUCGUGUGUCAGAAAAUGACGAAAGGACAUUUGCGGCGCUGAUACAGCUUUAUCAGAGAAAUUAAUGGAGUAUAGAAUGUUCUAUCACGGAUAAGUGUGGCAUCCCAUCUUUUGCAUACUGUAUGACACAAAAAAAUAGUCUAUGGGUCCAAGCCCAAUAGGCAAAUGGGCUCAAGCCCACCUAAAGUCCAUGAAAUUUCUCUAUAAAUAGAGACAUUUUGUCAUUCAUUUAAGGAGAUCUUGCCUAUAAAUGGAGGCAUCUUCUUCAUUAACAGCCGUGUGAAAUUGGAUCCUUAAGAGCAAGCUUAUACUUCUAUUCUCUCUUAUGUUUUAGGUGAGAGUUUAGAACAAAACAGAGAUGGAUUCUCCUUACAAUUUCUCCUCAUCGUAACAGACAAAAAUAAGAGCCAAGGAGGUAUGAGAAAUCGUACUCUAAGGCUCGAUUCAUUUCUUUGAAUAUCAUUUUAUGUUUCUUUUGUAUUAAGUUGUAAUAUUAACUCUAUGGCAGAGAGGCCUAUAAUUUGGUUAUAAUAUUACAUUUCUUCUAGC